GCUAAUACGAUAACAACAGAUGAUGCUAUCAACUGUUUAAAGAUGGUUCUGCUAUCACUCUUGGAUGGACCUGCGGUGCAUUAGCUAGUUGGUAGGGUAACGGCCUACCAAGGCGAUGAUGCAUAGCCGAGUUGAGAGACUGAUNCGGCCACAUUUGGGGACUGAGACACGGCCCAAACUCCUACGGGGAGGCAGCAGGC
This 200-nucleotide ribosomal RNA is filed under the name uncultured Lactobacillus sp. Its description in RNAcentral is "partial 16S ribosomal RNA". It matches the Rfam family "Bacterial small subunit ribosomal RNA", at positions 162 to 354 of the family's 1533-position model. Lineage: Bacteria; Bacillati; Bacillota; Bacilli; Lactobacillales; Lactobacillaceae. The record is from RNAcentral.